Molecule: non-coding RNA, 1479 nt
Organism: Schizosaccharomyces pombe (fission yeast)
Lineage: Eukaryota; Fungi; Ascomycota; Schizosaccharomycetes; Schizosaccharomycetales; Schizosaccharomycetaceae
Source: the annotation of a GenBank genome assembly
AAAUGAGUUUCUUCGAUAAAGAAGAUACCAAGACGGGUGUACCAAAUGGACUUGGAGAUGUUUUGGAUGGUACGGAAUUCGUUAACCGCCAAAGAGCUGAGAAGCCAUGAACCACCAUCGGCACCAGUGAUAUAGUGUGCAGACUGCAAAAGACCACCAAGAGUAGUUUCAUUGCUACGGCUAUCCAAAGCAGCCAAGGCACCACCACCGAAAAGCAUGGAACGCCAACCACCACCAGAAACGGCAAUACCAAGACGAGGACCGUUAUCGCCAACAAUGCUGGAAAGAUCGAGGUCAGCGGUAGUAUUUUUAGAUUGUAAAAAGGUUGUCAAAGCUUCAUUGGCGUUGCUGAGACGUUUUUCAAUGAAAUCGUUCUCGAGGUCGGGAAGUUCACCACGGGGCAAAGAAUUGACCAUGAUUUCAGAGCUAUCGCAAGAACGGAUCACAGGGGCAUACGAAGCAUUGGUGCUAGGAAAUGGAGGGGGCUUUUUCCAGUUACGACGUGAAAGCGAAUGGAGUUCUGGGGAAGCGACCUGACCAUAUACAGCAGUGGCCAGGAGCAAGGCCAGGAAAUAGAAAGACUGAAAAUACAUGAGGAAUAAUUAUAUUAAACACAAAACAAAGAUUGAAGACAAGAUCAGUGCAUAUGCAGCUGGUAAAGAUACCAAAUGGAAGGUGUAAGAUGUCGAUCCCAAAGUAAAUGUACUAGUAGAAUAUGUUACUUGAGAUAACGAGAACCAGCAAAUUCAACCUUUAUACUGAAUGUCUUGAAACAAGCGAGACAGAGACAGAGACAGGAAUAAGGAAUAGGAAGAAAAGGCAAGCGAAGGGAUUGAUUGAGUGUAAAGAAAAAGAAAAUCAAGGAAUACCACACACCAAAAAUCUAAAUAGCAAGAGAGCUAUGUUUCAGAAAGGGGUAAAAGAUGAUUAAGGAGAGGGAAACACAAAAAAAAGAAGAGAAUGAAACGAAGAAAUCUAUUUCUAGCAAAUUACAAUCAAGCAAAGUCACCAAGAGAGGAAGAAGACGAGAAAAUCAACGAAAAUAAACUCUUUUGACUUGAAGAUUGUUGAAAGGAUUUUUUUAAGGGUAAAGUUCAAGUGAAACUUUUUAACGCAGGCACAACGAAAUAAAGCAAAUCAAAUCAGUACAAAGAGUUGAGAAUGACGAAAUGCUAACAAAUUGUUGUGUGAGGGAAAAAACACCACAGAGUAAGAGAAGAAGAAGAAGAAUAGAGUAGGAAAUUUAAACACACAAAAAUAAAACAACGAAGAAAGGAGUCAAAUCACGAAUGAGCUAAAAUAGCAAAUGUUUAAAAUGACCACACUAUAAAAGUAGAAGAAGAAGAAGAAGAAAAAGAAUAUAAAAAAAUAGUAUAGAAAAAGGGAAACAAGUUAAAAAAAAAUAUAAUAAUAAAAAUAAAAAAAGAAGCGAACAAGACUCGAUUAAAAAGAAAUUAUUAUAACAAGAGAAACACACUG